This 177-nucleotide ribosomal RNA is filed under the name uncultured bacterium. RNAcentral's name for it is "partial 16S ribosomal RNA". It matches the Rfam family "Bacterial small subunit ribosomal RNA", at positions 335 to 504 of the family's 1533-position model. The record is from RNAcentral.
UUUCCUACGGGAGGCAGCAGUAGGGAAUCUUCCGCAAUGGACGAAAGUCUGACGGAGCAACGCCGCGUGAGUGAAGAAGGUUUUCGGAUCGUAAAACUCUGUUGUCAGAGAAGAACAAGUUGGAGAGUAACUGCUCCAGCCUGGACGGUAUCUGACCAGAAAGCCACGCAUCGUCGG